This 535-nucleotide ribosomal RNA is filed under the name uncultured fungus. RNAcentral describes it as "SSU rRNA". It matches the Rfam family "Eukaryotic small subunit ribosomal RNA", at positions 300 to 837 of the family's 1831-position model. Lineage: Eukaryota; Fungi. The record is from RNAcentral.
CAAAUUUCUGCCCUAUCAACUUUCGAUGGUAGAGUAGUGGUCUACCAUGGUUUGCAACGGGUAACGGGGGAAAUUAGGGUUCUAUUCCGGAGAGGGAGCCUGAGAAACGGCUACCACAUCCAAGGAAGGCAGCAGGCGCGCAAAUUACCCAAUCCCGACACGGGGAGGUAGUGACAAUAAAUACUGAUACAGGGCUCUUUUGGGUCUUGUAAUUGGAAUGAGUACAAUUUAAAUCCCUUAACGAGGAACAAUUGGAGGGCAAGUCUGGUGCCAGCAGCCGCGGUAAUUCCAGCUCCAAUAGCGUAUAUUAAAGUUGUUGCAGUUAAAAAGCUCGUCAGUUGAACCUUGGGCCUGGCUGGCCGGUCCGCCUCACCGCGUGCACUGGUCCGGCCGAGCCUUUCCUUCUGGGGAGCCGCAUGCCCUUCACUGGGUGUGUCGGGGAACCAGGACUUUUACUUUGAAAAAAUUAGAGUGUUCAAAGCAGGCCUAUGCUCGAAUACAUUAGCAUGGAAUAAUAGAAUAGGACGUGUGGUUC